AAGCAGUUGACUAGAUAGUUCUGGCUUGAGAUAAAAGUGGUUCCAAAUACUGGGCGGUUCUUGAGUCAGAUGAAAGACAGGCUGGAGGAGCCUCUUCCAAGAGGAAGAUAUUUGAUGACACCCUGUUGUUGCCCCGUGUCAUGGAGAUUCAGCAGCUUUGGAUCCGCAGGAACAGUCCUAUCACAUGCUCCAGCAGUUCAUAAAUGUGGUAGAUACUGGGGAAAACUCACCAAGCCCGAGCUCCUCGAGCUGAAGACUUGAAAUCCCACCGAUCCCUACGCUGGAAAUCUUUGCCCUGGAAAACUUUGCCCCCUGAGAAUUUCUAUGCCUACUGCUUGAUUCGCAGCUGCUUCUCCCUGGAGCAGAGGCAGACUCUCUCCAGGACUUUUCCCUCCCAAUAAAUGUAUGUGAGGUUUGCUGUGCUGUGUGACGUUGUAGAGCUGCAACACCUUCCCUGGAGCAAAGCUGAGCAGAAGUCUUACACUUUUGCUGGGGAAACCCUUCCUUCCCCAGGGGAGCAGAGCUGCCACGCUUCCUUCCGUAAGGGAUGCGGUUCUCAGCAGCGCUGCGCAGUUUUCAGUUGGUUAUCUCCAAAGCCACCUCUCUUCAUAGUGGGAAACGGGAGAGAAAGAGCAGCAGAAAGUUGUGGCAAACUGUGGCAAAACUGAGUUGUGCAGAGGCUUUUUAAUUCCAUGGAAACCACUCGCUAAAGUUCUUGAUAUUCUUCCCUGCACCAGUGGAGCCUUGUUCAGAAGGUCCCUGCCUCUGCCUGUAUCUUGACCUGUUCCUCCUCCCUCCCCACAACCUUGUUAGCUUCAAAGUUUCAAGCUUUACUCAAGAUCUUUGAUCCAUUUUGACUUGACUUUUAUACCGGGUGAGAAAUAAAGACGUAGUUCCCUGUGUCUACAGUCGGACUCCAGUGUCUACAGGCAGACUCCAGUUUCCUCACUAGCUGUUUUGAAGAGACUAUUUCUUCUCCAAUAUGUUUGCUGGCUUUGUUGUUGUCUGUUUUUGGUUUGGGGGCAUCUUUUUUUAAAAGAGAAAAGAUAACUACAGCUGUGUGGGCUUAUUUGUUUGUUUGUUUGUUUGUUUGUUUGUUUUACACAAGGCAUGUAGCCCUGGCUCCUGGAACUCUCAAUAUAGACCAGGUUAUCCUUAAACUUACACAGGUAUGCCUUGCCUCUGCCCCCAUUAAUGCAGGAAUUAUAGAUGUGUGCCACCACACUCAGGCUCUAUUUCUAUUCCUUUGUUGCUAUUUCCACUGCAGAGACUGGGCCCUUCCCCCAGCCUUGAGGGGGCUAGUUCAGACCUUGUUUGCCACAGUCUGCUAGCUCACCUAGAGUGGAGUCUUCCGACCUAGGUGAAGUUUAUUGUCCUGUCACAUCUGCAGCUUCCUGCAAGAAGCCACUACCUGCUGAGCAGCUGAGCUUGUCUUUCUGACAAGAUACUGACAAACUGACAGCAACGAUAAGAUACUGGCAGAGCAGCCGGGCGUGGUGGCGCACGCCUUUAAUCCCAGCACUUGGGAGGCAGAGGCAGGCGGAUUUCUGAGUUCGAGGCCAGCCUGGUCUACAGAGUGAGUUCCAGGACAGCCAGCGUUACAC
Molecule: long non-coding RNA, 1604 nt
Organism: Mus musculus (house mouse)
Lineage: Eukaryota; Metazoa; Chordata; Mammalia; Rodentia; Muridae
Product: predicted gene, 39841
Exons: 3
Source: RefSeq, a predicted model, not a curated record